Molecule: long non-coding RNA, 688 nt
Filed under: Manihot esculenta (cassava)
Lineage: Eukaryota; Viridiplantae; Streptophyta; Magnoliopsida; Malpighiales; Euphorbiaceae
Description: long non-coding RNA (MESC_LNC000620)
Source: RNAcentral
CUCGAAUGAAAUACAACGGAGCAUCUAAAAAUCUUUGGGGAAUAUACUUAGUUAUGUUGGAGGGUGUAAUAUGCGACUCAAGGUUAACAAUAUCGGGAAGCUUUGAACUGGCCAUGGAAGAACAAGGAAGCGUACCUGAGAACACAAUGGGGUGAAAAAUGCAGAAGGAGUUGCAGGAAGACAGAGAGCAGAAAAGAGCUAGUUUCUUCAGAAGACAGAAGGAAUUCGAGAUGAAAGGCAAUAAUGAGACGGAACGUGGAUCUGAACAGUUUUGUCUUGGAGCGGCGCGAUCAUUAAUUACUCUCAAAGUUUACCCUCUCAACGGUUAGAUAAAUAACCGGUGAGAAGGUAAAGGGGCAAAAAAGAUGAUCGUUGGGCUUCUCCACAUCCGUCAAGGGCCAGAUCCGUGAUUACAGCCCAUCAACCAAAAGCCCAUUCGCCACCUACAUAAUACAAGCCCAACUUAGCCCGCAAGAACAACUCAACCUGCAAAAUUCACCACUUCACCACCUCCAUGGUAAAUACCAAGGAAACAGAGGGGCAAGUCAUGAAAAGACUCAAAAGUACAAGCAAAUGGGAGCAUGAUAAAGGUCAGACUUGCUCAUCGUUUAAAAAGAUAUAAGAUUUGACUUAUCGUUAUUGAACAAAGGCUGCGAGAUCGGAAAGAGGCGAUAAGGGCACCUCGGAA